UGAAAAUGAAUUAAAUAUCAAGGUUUGUUCUUAUGAUGUGUCUAAGAAGUUUAGUGUUGAUGCUUUGAAGGAUUCUAACUUGAACAAUUAUGCAACUGAUUUUAGAAGUUCUGUUCAAAAAAAUAUCAAUACCUAUUCUGUUGUCCUAAAUGAUAAACUCAUGGCAAAACUUUCAAUAUGCCAAAAUGAUCCCAUCCUAGUUUUUUUGCAUGUCCAAGCGAUGAUGAUGUUGAUAAUAUGGAGUACGAUGCCUCCAAGAACGUCCCACCAUCAUCAAAUUUUCUUAAAAAUGUUGUUAAUUCAAUGAAGGAUAACAUAGCAGUGGAAACACGACCUUCAAGCUAUCAUUCAGUAGGAUCUUCUGGAAGGAUAUGUGAUUCCAAAAGUGGUAAGAAAUCCAGAAGAUAUGCAUUAGACAGUAUCAGUUGGUUUAGAAAGUACCAUUAUCAAGGAUAAUGCAUCCGAAGAAUGUUCAGUUUCCAAAUGUGCUUAUAUGGGCAAUCUCAAUAUAUCCAAAUUUGACAAGACAGCAACAGCUGGAGCUGAAGGUGUGUCCGUGACUGUCUGCAAUAAGCCAAAGAGUUCAAAGAAGGAAAACCAAAACAAGGGAAACAAGGGUUGGGUUGAAGAGUGGAAUUAAAAAUUUAUCGACUGGUUCUUGGUCUCAGUAUUUGGAGGCUGUAUUAGAAUGUGUUGAUGAGGGAGAAGUAAUAUGUGAAGAGUCUUUGUUAAGGUCACCAACUGCUGGAGAUUUUGGUAUUUUGAAACAACCAUCAAAUAAUUUUCAGGAGACUAUGCUUUCUACGAUGAAGACUUUUGCAAAAGUGAAUGAUGUUACUCCAUCUAUGAUAGAAAGUAUUCCAGUGAAUACUAUUCCAAGUAAUUCUGGUUCUCAAAAAUGUUGUAGGCCUUUGGGGGAUUUGAAAGAAAAUAAGAAGCAGAAGCCCAUGUCUGGAUGCUUAAUGAAUCACAAAAACAAAGAGUUGAUAUCAGAGGUUGAUGAGCUGCUAGGUCAAAGAAAACUGAAGAAGCGUUCACAUUUGUAGAAGUUUAGAGAAAGAAAGGGAAG
This 1069-nucleotide unclassified non-coding RNA is filed under the name Hevea brasiliensis (rubber tree). Lineage: Eukaryota; Viridiplantae; Streptophyta; Magnoliopsida; Malpighiales; Euphorbiaceae. The record is from RNAcentral.